This 465-nucleotide ribosomal RNA is filed under the name uncultured bacterium. RNAcentral describes it as "bacterial SSU rRNA". It matches the Rfam family "Bacterial small subunit ribosomal RNA", at positions 56 to 504 of the family's 1533-position model. The record is from RNAcentral.
UGCAGUCGAACGCACAGCGAAAGGUGCUUGCACCUUUCAAGCGAGUGGCGAACGGGUGAGUAACACGUGGAUAACCUGCCUCAAGGCUGGGGAUAACAUUUGGAAACAGAUGCUAAUACCGAAUAAAACUUAGUAUCGCAUGAUACAAAGUUGAAAGGCGCUACGGCGUCACCUAGAGAUGGGUCCGCGGUGCAUUAGUUAGUUGGUGGGGUAAAGGCCUACCAAGACAAUGAUGCAUAGCCGAGUUGAGAGACUGAUCGGCCACAUUGGGACUGAGACACGGCCCAAACUCCUACGGGAGGCUGCAGUAGGGAAUCUUCCACAAUGGGCGAAAGCCUGAUGGAGCAACGCCGCGUGUGUGAUGAAGGCUUUAGGGUCGUAAAGCACUGUUGUAUGGGAAGAAAUGCUAGAAUAGGGAAUGAUUUUAGUUCGACGGUACCAUACCAGAAAGGGACGGCUAAAUAC